UUUCCUGCUGCCUUGUGAAGAAGGUGCUUGUUUCUUCUUUGCCUUCUGCCAUGAUUGCCAUGUGAAUCGCACCCCUGGAACUGUGCAGGGCCCACCUGUGUGGCCACACGCAGUGACCCUGAGCAAAGGAGUGACCACAGAAGUGCAUGGCAAAGCAGAAAGGUGUGACGUCUUGGAGGACGCGGGAGGAAAGCACGCCCAGCGGACAGGAGCCAUCACGCGGCUGCGGGCUGCUGCUGAGAACCUGGCGUGGGCCACCGUCGUCAGCAGCGUGGAGGUAACUGACGACCUUGGCCAAGAAGUUGGGUGGCAGCGUGGAGGUCAUGCUCAGAGAGCCUGCAGGACCACUGUGGGGCCACUGCCACCCUGUGGGGUGGUCCGGGGAGCCGAGGAGCAUGGACACCGUCUUCUCCUUCCAGCAGGCACAGUCAGAGUCCAUCUGGAUAAUCCUGGAUAAAUCUCAUCUGGAGAUCCUUCACCAGAUCACAUCGGCAAUGACCUGUUCCCCAAAUAAGGCCCUGUGCACAGGUUCUGGGGUGC
RNAcentral lists this long non-coding RNA (540 nucleotides) under Homo sapiens (human). RNAcentral describes it as "long intergenic non-protein coding RNA 2780". The record is from RNAcentral. Lineage: Eukaryota; Metazoa; Chordata; Mammalia; Primates; Hominidae.